This is a long non-coding RNA of Stegastes partitus (bicolor damselfish), 364 nucleotides long. RefSeq lists it as uncharacterized. NCBI's taxonomy places the organism in Eukaryota, Metazoa, Chordata, Actinopteri, Pomacentridae. The transcript is spliced from 2 exons. The record is from RefSeq and is a predicted model, not a curated record.
UUCUCCAAUUCAGUUUCACUUUUACCGUUUUCGUGUCACAGCUUGUUUUCUCCGUCUGAAGUGAGACCAGCGGCUUCAACAGUUCAGCAACUUGGAGCUUCACGGACCCAAACGGUUCUGUUGUCCGACCGGCAGAGAGCGAAGACGAACCCGGCAGCAGAACCCUGAACACGGUCAGUUUAAGAGAACUUCUACACUUUAUUGUUGAAAUAUUAGCAGCUUGAGGUUGGUUGUAUUUAACUGUAAAAUAUUUUAGUUAAUAUCUGACGUUUCAUGACCAGCUAACAUUAGCCAGCUAACGGACAUUAGCUAACUAACGACAGCAUGCUAACUAACAAACGUAGGCUAAUAAAAUAAAAUAAAA